GACGAACGCUGGCGGCGUGCUUAACACAUGCAAGUCGAACGAUGAAGCCAGCUUGCUGGUGGAUUAGUGGCGAACGGGUGAGUAACACGUGGGUGAUCUGCCCCAAACUUUGGGAUAAGCCUGGGAAACUGGGUCUAAUACCGAAUAUGACCAACCCUUGCAUGGGGGUUGGUGGAAAGCUCCGGCGGUUUGGGAUGGGCCCGCGGCCUAUCAGCUUGUUGGUGGGGUAAUGGCCUACCAAGGCGACGACGGGUAGCCGGCCUGAGAGGGCGACCGGCCACACUGGGACUGAGACACGGCCCAGACUCCUACGGGAGGCAGCAGUGGGGAAUAUUGCACAAUGGGCGCAAGCCUGAUGCAGCGACGCCGCGUGAGGGAUGACGGCCUUCGGGUUGUAAACCUCUUUCACCAGGGACGAAGCGAAAGUGACGGUACCUGGAGAAGAAGCACCGGCCAACUACGUGC
Molecule: ribosomal RNA, 465 nt
Filed under: uncultured bacterium
Lineage: Bacteria
Description: bacterial SSU rRNA
Rfam family: Bacterial small subunit ribosomal RNA
Source: RNAcentral